CCCGGCACAAGCGAGGAACAUGUGGUUUAAUUCGAUGAUACGCGAGGAACCUUACCCGGGCUUGAAAUGCAUCUGACGUAGGCAGAGACGUCUAUUCCCUUCGGGGCAGAUGUGUAGGUGCUGCAUGGUUGUCGUCAGCUCGUGCCGUGAGGUGUCGGCUUAAGUGCCAUAACGAGCGCAACCCUCAUCAUUAGUUACCAACAGGUCAAGCUGGGGACUCUAGUGAGACUGCCAUCGUAAGAUGUGAGGAAGGUGGGGAUGACGUCAAAUCAGCACGGCCCUUACGUCCGGGGCGACACACGUGUUACAAUGGGUGGUACAAAGGGCAGCUACCUGGCGACAGGAUGCUAAUCUCGAAAACCACUCUCAGUUCGGAUCGGAGUCUGCAACUCGACUCCGUGAAGCUGGAUUCGCUAGUAAUCGCGCAUCAGCCAUGGCGCGGUGAAUACGUUCCCGGGCCUU
Molecule: ribosomal RNA, 462 nt
Filed under: uncultured Proteiniphilum sp.
Lineage: Bacteria; Pseudomonadati; Bacteroidota; Bacteroidia; Bacteroidales; Dysgonomonadaceae
Description: bacterial SSU rRNA
Rfam family: Bacterial small subunit ribosomal RNA
Source: RNAcentral